CCAGCCACCGCGGUUACACGAUUAACCCUAGCUAAUAGAAACCGGCGUAGAGGGUGUUUAAGAUCUGACAUAAUAAAGCUAAACUCCAUCUAAACUGUAAAACUCUAGCUGAUGUAAAAUAAACUACGAAAGUGGCUUUAAAGCUUCUGAACACACAAUAGCCAGGACCCAAACUGGGAUUAGACACCCUACUAUGCUUGGCCCUAAACCUCAGUAGUUAGAUAACAAAACUACUCGCCAGAAUACUACGAGCUACAGCUUAAAACUCAAAGGACUUGACGGUGCUUUACACCCCCUAGAGGAGCCUGUUCCGUAAUCGAUAAACCCCGAUCCACCCCACCCUCUCUUGCUCAGCCUAUAUACCGCCAUCUUCAGCAAACCCUAAUGAAGGCCACAAAGUGAGCGCAAACGCCAUCACCGCGAAUACGUUAGGUC
Molecule: ribosomal RNA, 435 nt
Filed under: Macaca mulatta (Rhesus monkey)
Lineage: Eukaryota; Metazoa; Chordata; Mammalia; Primates; Cercopithecidae
Description: partial 12S ribosomal RNA
Rfam family: Bacterial small subunit ribosomal RNA
Source: RNAcentral